Molecule: ribosomal RNA, 588 nt
Filed under: uncultured Chloridium
Lineage: Eukaryota; Fungi; Ascomycota; Sordariomycetes; Chaetosphaeriales; Chaetosphaeriaceae
Description: eukaryotic LSU rRNA
Rfam family: 5.8S ribosomal RNA (bases 233-386)
Source: RNAcentral
CUUGGUCAUUUAGAGGAAGUAAAAGUCGUAACAAGGUUUCCGUAGGUGAACCUGCGGAAGGAUCAUUAAAGAACGCCCCGUUUUUUGAAAUGGGUAAUUCCCAAACCGUGUCUAUAUAUACCUUUGUUGCUUUGGCAGGUCGCCUUCUAGGCGUCGGCUCCGGCUGACUGCGCCUGCCAGAGGACCCAAACUCGUUUUGUUUAGUGUCGUCUGAGUACUAUAUAAUAGUUAAAACUUUCAACAACGGAUCUCUUGGUUCUGGCAUCGAUGAAGAACGCAGCGAAAUGCGAUAAGUAAUGUGAAUUGCAGAAUUCAGUGAAUCAUCGAAUCUUUGAACGCAUAUUGCGCCCUUUGGCAUUCCGAAGGGCAUACCUGUUCGAGCGUCAUUACACCCUUCAAAGAUGACUCUUUGGCGUUGGGCAAUGCCUAAAGGCAUGCCUCAAAAUCAGCGAUGGUGAUAUUCAACCACAGACGCACACACGUCGUCUAGCUGGCGGGAUGUUGACAGUCAAUUGAUGAAUUUCUAAAUGUUGACCUCGGAUCAGGUAGGAAUACCCGCUGAACUUAAGCAUAUCAAUAAGCGGAGGA